RNAcentral lists this long non-coding RNA (1556 nucleotides) under Daucus carota (carrot). RNAcentral's name for it is "long non-coding RNA (DCAR_LNC007463)". Lineage: Eukaryota; Viridiplantae; Streptophyta; Magnoliopsida; Apiales; Apiaceae. The record is from RNAcentral.
UAAUUUACAGUUAUUUCUCAGUCACAUAAACUGCCGGACAGCCACUCAAAGAUUAGCCAUUUACUACCAUUAGCCUAUCUCAAUAUCAAAUGAACAUCAAUCAAGAAAGGUAGGAUAUUCAAAGAGCUUUAUAACCAUAUAAGGUAUGAAAAAAUUGAUCAAGUAAUGAAAGGGGAAUUUAAAGUUUAAGUCAACUAUUUAACACCAUUCAGCAGCAAGUAUCUCAAUUACUUCAGUUUAUAGCAUGAUAUAUCAAGUCUUUUCUCUAAGCAAUAUGAACAGAAAAUAUCAUAAUUGGAAUUAUCUAGUCAAUCCAAAAAGAUUCUAUCAUUUUAUCAUUUAUAGAACUUGCACAAUGUCUCAUUUAGCAAAACAGGGCAGACUUGAACAGUUUUGACAUAUCUAGCUAAUCCAAUUUUUAUAAAAUACAAAACGACCUCAAAUCAUGAUUUUUAAAGAAUACAAACCAAAGACUAAUCACAUAACCACAUUAUAAAAACAACAAAAGCAGAUUUGGACGUGUGGUUAUUAAGUUAUGCAUUUUUGAAAAUGAAGUACGCAACAGAAUUACAACUAUAGAAGGGAGGUUGACACUAUUAGCUUACAAAAUUCAUAACUUUAAUUAUACAUAUCCAAAUCAAGUAAUUCGUCUUGGUAAUCACAGAAGACUCUACAUAGCAUCUAGUUACAGAGGUUUUGAUAUUUUACAACUACUCUCAACAUACUUAAUUAGUAUCCAAAACAGAAACAAAUUUCAGCUUCCAGAAUUUUAAACUAGUUAAUACAAUAAAAUCAUAUAACUUUAGUUUUACUAAACGAAAUCUCAAAUUUAUUUUUCCCACUUAAAAUACACGUCAAGGCACUUACAAAAUCAGUAAUUUACACACUAACCAACAACAAUUUCACACCAUUCUUAAGCAUAUCAAAACAGGGCAGGUUUGUCCUAGCAGCAUGGUAUCACAAAUUGACUCUUAAGCAUCACCAAAAAUUGACAAUUAAGGCCUAAGAACUAAUAUGCAACUUCCAAUAUCUCCAUUCUCUACACAGGAGCCCUUGAACACAUAGAAUCUGUCACGAAGAACCUCAUGCAGCUAGCAAGGAUCAUAAAUCAAAGUAGUUCAAGUAGAGAUUCGACCGAAAACAACAAAGAAACUCAUGAUUCAGUUUUACCCAAAACUAAUUACUACUUAUAAUCACUAACUCUAUACUAAAAACUGACACGCAACAACAAUCAAUCAUAAAUCAAGCCUUAAAAUCAACCCAACAAUCAAAAUAUCACAAAACCCCGGCCAUGGCUCACUGCAGUUCAUCGCCAUGGCCAGCCUUCACUUGGGGAGAUUCGUUUUCACCAGCUCUCGACCCAGGUGAGGCCAACAGCCUUCUUUCUCAUACAAUCGCACAACAAAGCCAUCUUUUGGGCCAAAACCCUAAUCACACCCAACACAUACAUGCAUAUAUCAAAGGUUUUGCAUACAAUUAAGGAAAGGGAGUAAUCAGGUAGAAUAUUAGAGCUACUAAACACUGAAAACGGCCAGGAAAAUUGGUGGAACCAAUGG